This 2597-nucleotide ribosomal RNA is filed under the name Triticum aestivum (bread wheat). Its description in RNAcentral is "partial small subunit ribosomal RNA". Lineage: Eukaryota; Viridiplantae; Streptophyta; Magnoliopsida; Poales; Poaceae. The record is from RNAcentral.
UGGAGAGCGGUACCGGGUCCCGGCCGGGACGAAUAGCAUUGGCGAGUAGUCCUCUCCGCUUUUUCGUUCUCAGCAAGAAGCGAAGUGGCUGACUGUCUUGCCGCUAGAGAAGGGAGAGUCCGGCGACCAAGUCGCCGUCCUCUCGCUUCCCUGGGGCCUAGACUCUGGAUCCGCACAUCUAUCAUCCCAUCCAAAGAAAAUGUCGUCGUCGCGCCACCUUAUUCAACCGGCCUCGAAGAAGGGGGUAAAGCCGCUGCAGUGCACGCCGCCACGGCUACUCGAAGGCCGCAAUUGACGAGGGCCCAGGCAGCUAUGCCACCCGCGGGCAAGAGGUCCACACCAGCAGCAACGCCUCCGCCGCCGGUCGAUGUCCCAUUGAGCGGGGAGCAGAGGUAGAAGCAGUGCUGUUCCUACAAGAACAAGAACGGCACCCUCGAGGCCGCCACCACGCCGCUCCACGACCGCCGACCGCGUGCCGACAAGAGGCUUCGCUUUGUAGCCGCGAUAGCGACAGUACGAAAGCGUAGAAGAACCAUCUGGCUAGGACGAAGGGCGCGCCGGGCCGCGCAGCAUGCAUGCAUGCACCUCCGAUCGCUCUCCGUAGGCCGCGCGUCCGGUUUGCCAUAGGCCGCAUGCACAUCGGAUGAAGCGGUGAUUAAAAGAAAAGCAACGCCGUGUACACCCUUUCGAGCGGCAGGCAGGGAAACGUGGGUGGGUGGAUGGGUCAGCGAGGGCCUGUUGGCGGUGGCAGGGGUAGGGUCGAGGUUGUAAGUGCACAACUCGCUUCGCUUCGUGAAACCCUGUGUGUACUAGGAACGUUGACGUCGUCGUCGUCGGGUGACCGUGGUACCUCCGUGUCUUUUUCUGUACCGCUGCUCAGGGUUACAACGCGUGGAUUUCGGGCAUCUACGAGUGGCAGUGGCCGUGAUUAGCUGUGGCCUUCGCAGGUCUACGAGCGGCAGCGGCCGUGAUCAGCUGUGGCCUUCGCGGGACAUUUGCGUUGCGUACUCCGUACUAACUAAAUUGUUUUCGUUUUGACCCACCUCCUUUCCUUGUGCAAGGGUCAGUGCUCCAGUCGGGUCCAGCAAAAGAAAUGAUGAUAAAGGGGGUGGCGCGAACCUCACGUGAGGUGUGCGACGAGCCCUUCUCCAAGUGUGCCGGCGCGACCAGAGUCAGCGGCAGGGCCAGAGGGGCAGGGCCAGGCGCGCAGCGCCAAGAGUGUCCUGGUGGCCCGGCGCCAACAAAAGUGCCGCACCGGUACCGGCGGCAGCAGACGCAGUGGCCGCGGCCGCCGAAGUAGCCGAGGACCUAGCAGUUCUACGAGGAGCGGGCGCCGAUGCGGCAGGCGCCGUGGAGGGCGGCGCGGCUACUGGGGUUCUUGCGCGUGGACACCCGCGAGCUGCCGCGGCGCCUCGCCGAGUGCUACCACGUCCAGCUGGACGAGCUGGCCCGGUCGGAGGCGCGGCGGAAGCUGCCGACGCUGCCGCAGUAGGUGUGACGCAGCGGCUACGUGCUGUGGGGGCUCCUCUAGUAGCUCGGCCACUAGUGGCCCUGCGAGUUGCACCACCUCUACCGGCGCCUGCGGCCGCAGGCCGCGCACCACGACAGGAGGUCGUAGCCGUGGUACAUGUACUUGGGGGUAGCGCUGGGCCUGCGCGGCGAGCUGCUCAGCACGACCUCGCUGGAGCUGAUGACGUUUGUCUGGUUCUUGACCAUGACGAUGCGGUUCUGCUAGCGCCUCGCCCCGCGCACCCUCCGCCGCGCCCGCGACCCCGACCUGGACCGCCACCACUAGGGCCACCACUGCGAGCCGCUCGACGACGUCGGCUGGUACUUGUGGUCGUGGUCCGUGUAUGAGUUCAUGGAGUGGCCGCUCCGGUUCCGGAUGCAGUUGCUCAGCGUCCGGAUGCACGUACAGUUCCUGCGGCGGCUCCGCGUGCAGUCCCACGAGCUCCGCGGGUUACGGCCGCCUGCCGCGAUGCAGACGCGGCUCUCCUGCGACGUGGCGCCGCUCGAGACGGCCUAGGAGCGGCCCGAGAAGGGCCUGGUGGGCUAAGGGUGUUCUACGUUCCUGCUCCAUUUAGGCGGUUUCUUCCCAAUGUUCAUGUGGUUGGUCGGAGAGUUCCUGGAACCGUACUUCAAGUGGGGACACGUUCUUAUGGAGACACUUCGCCACUUUAGGGACGUUCUCUUCCCUAAGUAAGUCUUCCGAAGACCGUGGUUCCACGGACGAUCAUCUCCCCCAAGCGCCGGAGUCUUAAGUCGCCGCGGGCACAAAUACAGCUUUGAAACUAUCCGAAGGCGUGUUUCAUUGUUACGUCAAGCGGCAGUACCCUUAACAUUAAGUAAACUAAUUCACUAUACGACGACCGAAAUUAUCCGAAGAACAUGACAUACAUAGUUCGACGGCUCAAACACAUCGUCGCGGCACAACUGGACGUGACAACGGACCUUGACAUGUGGCGAUGUCUCGUUGAAGUCACUACGUACGCUUUAUAAAAGGGACCAGCUACAAGAGGGGGUCGUAGAUCAACAAGUAGAACAGACUGAGUCGCCCAUGUUGUUUGGCUAGUUCAACCGUGAACCGUCGGGAGAAA